RNAcentral lists this ribosomal RNA (440 nucleotides) under uncultured bacterium. RNAcentral's name for it is "partial 16S ribosomal RNA". It matches the Rfam family "Bacterial small subunit ribosomal RNA", at positions 338 to 795 of the family's 1533-position model. The record is from RNAcentral.
CCUACGGGAGGCAGCAGUGGGGAAUAUUGCACAAUGGGGGAAACCCUGAUGCAGCGACGCCGCGUGAGUGAAGAAGUAAUUCGGUAUGUAAAGCUCUAUCAGCAGGGAAGAAAAUGACGGUACCUGAGUAAGAAGCCCCGGCUAACUACGUGCCAGCAGCCGCGGUAAUACGUAGGGGGCAAGCGUUAUCCGGAUUUACUGGGUGUAAAGGGAGCGUAGACGGCAGUGCAAGUAUGGAGUGAAAGGCGGGGGCUCAACCCCCGGACUGCUCUUGAAACUGUACGGCUGGAGUGCAGGAGAGGUAAGUGGAAUUCCUAGUGUAGCGGUGAAAUGCGUAGAUAUUAGGAGGAACACCAGUGGCGAAGGCGGCUUACUGGACUGUAACUGACGUUGAGGCUCGAAAGCGUGGGGAGCAAACAGGAUUAGAUACCCGUGUAGUC